AGCCUAACAGAGAGAGAGAGGGAGAGUCUGGCUCUCAGAGCUGCUUCUCUUCUCCAUGGUCACAGGACAGCAGCUUUGGCCGUUCCACAUUGUCAUUCAUUCCUGUCCCCCACACGCGUGCCUGAUCAUACAGGAAAAUGAGUUUACAAACGACUACGCCUAUGGGACUCCCGGAGGGACACAAUGCCAGAGCCUUUACUAGCGGUGGAUGGACCCUCAAAAGGUUUGAAAGUUUGAAACUCAAGAAUAAGAGAAGAAUUACUAAGAACUCAGUAUUUUCUUCUAGCUGCUGGCUCUCCUACCACACCAAUGUCCUGUUGUAUUAAGAGGCUACACAUCUGUGCCUGUCUAACACACCUGCUAGACCUCUUGAGAGAUAUGAUUAUAUUAAUUACAAUAUAUUGAUUGAUUUCUACUUUACACGGACUGCCUGUAUUUAAUUUAAAUAUACAAUGAAGCAUAUUGAGGACACAAUUUGGAUUGUUACUGUGAUAAAUAAUUGCUAAUUGUGUCAUGAUAGAUCACCUAU
Molecule: long non-coding RNA, 529 nt
Filed under: Cyanistes caeruleus (blue tit)
Lineage: Eukaryota; Metazoa; Chordata; Aves; Passeriformes; Paridae
Description: lncRNA (ENSCCEG00000009071.1)
Source: RNAcentral